RNAcentral lists this ribosomal RNA (497 nucleotides) under uncultured bacterium. Its description in RNAcentral is "partial 16S ribosomal RNA". It matches the Rfam family "Bacterial small subunit ribosomal RNA", at positions 28 to 507 of the family's 1533-position model. The record is from RNAcentral.
GAUGAACGCUGGCGGCGUGCCUAAUACAUGCAAGUCGAGCGAACGGACGAGAAGCUUGCUUCUCUGAUGUUAGCGGCGGACGGGUGAGUAACACGUGGAUAACCUACCUAUAAGACUGGGAUAACUUCGGGAAACCGGAGCUAAUACCGGAUAAUAUUUUGAACCGCAUGGUUCAAAAGUGAAAGACGGUCUUGCUGUCACUUAUAGAUGGAUCCGCGCUGCAUUAGCGAGUUGGUAAGGUAACGGCUUACCAAGGCAACGAUGCAUAGCCGACCUGAGAGGGUGAUCGGCCACACUGGAACUGAGACACGGUCCAGACUCCUACGGGAGGCAGCAGUAGGGAAUCUUCCGCAAUGGGCGAAAGCCUGACGGAGCAACGCCGCGUGAGUGAUGAAGGUCUUCGGAUCGUAAAACUCUGUUAUUAGGGAAGAACAUAUGUGUAAGUAACUGUGCACAUCUUGACGGUACCUAAUCAGAAAGCCACGGCUAACUACGUG